GCGCCCGGACCGCGGGGGGAGCAGGGGCGCGGGGGACCUGCCGCCGCUGCCGGCUCUUUGUCUGCUCGGGCAACUUGAACAAAAGGAGAAACUCGGAUGAACUCUCCAUCUCUUCCUCGCCUCUCCCGGGUUAACUCAUCUUCGGCAACUUUAUCGGAAGAGAUUUGCUCAACUUUCUUCGAGCUCUCCUGCCACUUAAAAGCAAAGAGCCCCGCCGUAGACUUCUAAGGAAAUCUGGUUUCACAGUUUAGAGAAAGGAGAAGGUCACAACAUGAUUGUUGGGAAAAUGGGAUGGCUGCCAGAACAUCAGUCUGUGAUGGGUGCCAUAUUGCAUUACUCUUCGAAUGGUGGAAUAGAGCUUGGGAUUCCUCUGGGCUGCUUGACAUGAUUCAAAUUGGAUCAUACAGAUGCCGAACAUCUUAGUUGUUUGGAUUCAUAGUAAUGGUUAAUGGUCUCCCAGGGGAAGUGGAAAAGCCCCAUGCUGAAACUUGUGGAUAUUGUCGAACAUGCUGCUGAGACCUAUUUGGAUUAUAUUGCCAUGUGACACCAAGGUUCUGCAGCUGAUGAGAGGAGCUCACCAGAUCUUUUUAUGUGGUUGCUGAAGCAUUGCCCUGGGACAGCAGUAAUGAGGAUGGAUGAACAGAACACAC
Non-coding RNA from Lonchura striata (white-rumped munia), 650 nucleotides. The record is from RefSeq and is a predicted model, not a curated record. NCBI's taxonomy places the organism in Eukaryota, Metazoa, Chordata, Aves, Passeriformes, Estrildidae.